GAACGGUCUGAGCCGUGUGGGGCCGGUGGAGGGGAGCCAGUGUGGAUGGGAGAGAUUUGUACCAUGCGCAGCGGAGCGAUGGUUUGGGGCUGAAGUAAGGCAUGUGCAGUGCUGGAGGCUGCAACUCUGUCCACCACAGCCUGAGGCGUGCAGGACAAACAGCAGUGCCUGAGUGCUGGAGUAUACCUGGCUGAUGCUGGGACAUCGAGCCAGGGGCAAGCUGCCAGGCUUGAAAACUGGCCUGACAUGACCUGAGUUGUUGAGCAAUGCUUUAAUCAUGCAAGCUGAAGGCUGUGGUCCUGCAGCUUCCUUGAGGUGUGGUGUUGGCUAUGCUGUGCUUGCGGUGCCCUGCCUGGGGCAGCAUGCUGCAGUGUCAGCACAGCAGCUCUGAGUUCGGCCGAGGAAGGAUCUGGAUGGCUCUACCCAGCAGAAAUGCAGUCGCAUGUCUCCCAGCCUCGUGGUCCAGAGCUGGAAUCGUGUCCCACACAGCUGAUGCUGCUUUUGGCCUCUGGUGCCUGCAGGCAGCCCUCAGGCUGCUGUGAAACCAGCUGUGCCCAGGUCCAUCAGCAUGCUCCAGGUACCACUGCCCCUGGAUCGUGAUGGGAUCCUAUUCCGGCUCCGUUUCACCACUCUGGCUGUUGGGACUGUGUUUUGCCCCUUGUUUGGUUUCCUUUUCUGCGUGAUUUGGUCUCUGCUCUUCCACUUCCAGGAGACAACAGCCACCCACUGCGGGG
RNAcentral lists this long non-coding RNA (734 nucleotides) under Gallus gallus (chicken). RNAcentral describes it as "long non-coding RNA NONGGAT001445". The record is from RNAcentral. Lineage: Eukaryota; Metazoa; Chordata; Aves; Galliformes; Phasianidae.